UUUUAAUAAUAUCUCAAAAAAUAAUAUUAAAUAUACCCUAAAUUAUGAAUAUCAAGAAUCUCAAUCUGUUGUACCAUUAAUGUUUGACCAACAUUUCAUGAUAUCUCUCUCUUGCCUACCAAAACCUGCACAUGCAUCUUGCUAAUUUUCCCAGGAUGAAACACAUGCUAAUAAAAAUUAAAAGGGAAAAAUUCAUAUAGAUUUGAUUAAUACUUGCUACCAAAAGUAAUCAUCGGAACCGACAAAUUAACUAUUAUAUAGGACACGUAAAUCUUACAGGUAAUGGGCUCGGUGACGAUG
Molecule: unclassified non-coding RNA, 300 nt
Filed under: Hevea brasiliensis (rubber tree)
Lineage: Eukaryota; Viridiplantae; Streptophyta; Magnoliopsida; Malpighiales; Euphorbiaceae
Source: RNAcentral